RNAcentral lists this unclassified non-coding RNA (4490 nucleotides) under Hevea brasiliensis (rubber tree). The record is from RNAcentral. Lineage: Eukaryota; Viridiplantae; Streptophyta; Magnoliopsida; Malpighiales; Euphorbiaceae.
GAAGAAAUCUAUGCAUUUCAUUGAAUAUGACGAAUGUAAGUAUACGCUACACAAAAAAUUGCCACAUAAUUACAUUAAUUUGAACACUAAAACACAAAAUACAGAACAAUACCUAGAAUUAAAGACUUACAGUGAAAAUCAUCGAGGUACUGCCAGAAGGACCGUGGUAUUAACAAAUGAGCGUCUUCCACCAUCAUGACAUGACAGUGGCAUGUAAAGGAACUGCUCUGAUAAUAUUUGUCUCGUAAGACUACCAAUUUGCAGAACUCUGGUGCUAAUAAGGACCGAUAUGGACCGCAGGAAGCAAAACAAAAUUGCGAGGUGCACAAUGACAUGUGAAAGAAGCAUUGCAUUACACUGUUGGGGUAUCGGCUGAGCCGUACUCCCACACUUAAAAAGCAGAAAUUGACUUUACAUGGUGGCAUGGCAGGCUUCGGCUAGGAUUCUUGAAGAACUAGAUUUAAUUCCAGAGCAGAUUUUGCCACCAUUCCACCUUUCCUAAUAACUGCUGGAAGAUUUUGCUGGAUCUUUUGCAGCUGGACAAAGCAGCGCUUACAGCAUUCAAGCCUUUGCUCUGCAUGAAGAUCAACACCAACAGCUGGAGGAGCAGAAAUGGUUGAGCGUACUACCGGGCCAAAGACUGCUACAAGCUUCAGUAGCAUCUCCAAAGAGACACUUGUGUGCCUUUCCAUCUUGCUAUCUAGUAAGCCCACAAGUACAGGAAGUAAGCAUGAAAAUAGGUCUAAGGUAAGAAUCUCCAUUUUCUCCAUGAGUAUACUGAUUACAUCUGCUUGCACAGAAUGAUCGGGCAGUUUUCUUAGAGCAUUGAUAGAACCCUUAAUGUCAUUCCGUUGCCAAAAAUGUCGAACUACCUGUAAUUUUGUCAAGCGGGAUUUAAGGGUACUUAAGAUUACAUCAUGAGUUUGCAUCAAAUCUUCACUAAUAUCCCCAUGAUUAGAAGAAAUUGAGUCCCUGCCAGAAAUCUGAGGCUCCUCCUGUCAUUAUAAAAGGAGAAAACUGAGCGAGUUUGGUUGAACAAAGGUGAAGGCAGAAGCUCGUGUGAGGCUCCUCCUUAAAAUAAACUAAAAUUUUCAAAAAAGGGUUUUCCAAUAGGAAAUAUUAUUUUGGCAAUGAAAAAGUAAGCUUUGAUAAUUCCUUAGCCAACUAGAUUUUGCAUCCUGCAACAAUUAACCAGUGACUUUUCCAAUGCCAAUUCAUAGGUGAAGGAGAAGACAAGUUCAAGCCAUCAAGAAUUCAAAUUGCCAUUAUCAUGUCUAUAGCAGAUAUAGGACAAUUUUUAGUAACUUUCUAUUACUAAUCCAUGUUAGCAACUCCAGGUGAAAUUUAUAUCCAACUCGGCAACUCGAAAGUUUUACUCAUCAAAUUUAAGUUUAUAAAUUUUUGCACUUGUGAGCUUAUCAUAUUUCAACUGGGACUUGUAUAAAACCCAUCAGAGAUGCGACGGUUCAUUUAUGUUCAGACAAUAGAAAAUCUUCCCUUAAAGGGGACAAAAAUCAUACCAGUGCGGAAGGUGUUCUAACCAUUUCACGUACAAUGCAAGGAGUCAUGUCAGUUGCUAUGGAAGGUGAUCUAUCUGUUUCAGGUAUAACUCGAGGAUUCACAUUAGUUGCUGUGGUGGGUAUUCUAUCCAUUUCACGUAUAACACGAGGGGUCACAGCAGUUGGUAUAGCAGGUGUUCUACCCAUUUCAGGCAUAACACUCAGAGUCAUAUUAGUUGCCAUGGUCAGUCUGCUUUUGGCUUCAGGUAUAACAUGAGGGGGCAUAUUAGUUGCUGUGGGAGGUUUUCUACCAUUUUCAGGUAUAACAUGAGGGGUCAUAUUAGCUUCUGUGGGAGAUUUUCUAUCAGUUUGAGGUAUAACAACAGGGGUCAUAUUGGUUGCUGUGGGAAGCUUUCUAUCAGUUUCAGGUGUAGCACCAGAGUUGAUAUUAUUUGAUAUGGUGGGUGUCCUAUUUGUUUCAUGUGCAAUUUGAGAAGCCAUAUUUAUUGAUCGAUCUUCAUUGUUAAAAUUCUCUCGUCUUUCAAAUCUCUCAACCAGAGACCGUGUCCUGCCUGCUACCACAGCAACUCCAUUUACAAUUUUAACUGAGGGGAUCCCUCUAUUGGUAUUAAUGGAUUCAACACAAUUUUCCUGACUAGAGGGUGUCUUUGGGGAUAAAAAAUUUUCAAAUUUAUCCUCAACACUCUUGAUAGUAGAAUUCUUUUCCUCGCAGGAUUUCCGCAACCCAUCUUCUGAUACAUUCAGAGUUUGCAACUUCAGAUCCACUGCACUCUCUUUCUUACUUGUUGCGUUGCUAAAAGUUUCAGAUUCAAGAGCUACUGAUAGUUCAUCAACAUCAUUCUUGCUAUUUGAUGGCCUCCGUAUAUGAGCUGGCCUGAGCAACAUGCCAGGUUUUGUCCUUGAAAAGGUGACUGUUUCCCUUCCAGAAUUGAAAGACUUCUUUUCGAUGGGACUGUCCCGAGGUACAACAGUGGGCACAACAAAGGAUUUAUUAAGUGCUUCCCCACCAGCUUUUCCAUUCACUCCUGCUAUGGAACUUUUCUUCUCUGUUGGUGGAUUACCCAUCUCCUUGGAAUCCAACGGGAGGACCAUUUUUGGUGAACUCAAAGACCCAACUUUUUGUGAAGAAACAGGAUUUCCACCAGUAGCUUUACAUGAAAGAGAAUAAAUUAGCCACCGAAGAGACAACAGAACAGAGGAUAAAUUUGCAUCCUACAUAUGCAUUGGGUAUGCCCAUGUGUAACACACUAAGAUUCAAAUAUAACAACUUACAGUCUACAUAUAUAUUCUUUAUUUCUUUGAUCUCAUACUCAGGAGACGUAGAGCGUAAAUCUGAAGUCGAUCUUACUCCACUCAUUGCUUUAUCAGGAGAAUCACUUUUGGGGAUAUUAAACCUUUUCUCUGUGCAGUCGCUUUCUUCUGGUACAACACCAACUCCAUAUGGCUCAAUAAGCGCUAUAUCUGCUAUCCAAACUGCCACAGAAUUUUGAUAGUGCGAACAACCCAAAACUUUCCCUUCAUUAAUGCAGAGGUCACCAAGUGUAGACCACCCAAUACCAACGGCAUCAUGAAAAAUUAAAGGCUCCCAAGAAUAAACCUUCAAAGAAUCAUCUAAACCACAAAAAAGUGUCCUCCCAUCAGGAUGAAAGGUAAUUGUGCGUACUCCAGUGGCCUGGAAAGAGGAAAGGUAAGCUUUUUAGACAAUGAAACUCAACAAAGGACUAAUUUAUUUACAAUGUUAGGAAAUAGAUGCUGAAAAUAUUAGACAAAAGCCACAGAACCUUUUGUUGAUGGGAAAAAAGAAGAAGCCUACAAGUUCUUUAGAAUAAACAAGCACCAAACUGUCACACUAGAUUGGAAAAUGGGAAAAUUUUGGUACCCAUGAACAAUUGGAAAAUUUGACCACAUUAUAUGAUGCUUAUGCUUCUUGAGAGGCAAAAACACAAAUAUUAUUAUACAAAUUAUUAAAAUCAUGAAAUAAUAUUCGGGAAAAGAACAAUUGUAAAAAUAAGUUGCAUCCUAGAGUUUACAGAAUCAAAUGAUUUUUCCUAUUUCAGGAAAGAAAUAAUCAUUGUGACUGAAACCUAAGCACUUCACAGCCCAAACUAAACCCUGCUGCUUGUCAAUACUUAAUUUAAGUAUGUCAGAUACCUCAGGUCUGGUAGAUCCAAUCAAUUCAAAAGUUUCCAAGUCCCAAAAUUUCACAGUUCUGUCUGCUGAACCUGUGGCCAGGAGAAAUUCAAGGGGAUGAAAAUCUAUGGAUCUAAUAUGUCCCUCAUGAAACUUAAAAUCAUGUAAAAGCUUUCCAGCAGUAAGGUCCCACACCUUUACAACAUUAUCAAAUCCACCAGAAACUACCCAGCGACCAUCAGGAGUGAAUUUAAUAGUACUAAUGCCUCGAGUAUGACCCUUGUAUGUAUGAAUGCAUCCCUUCUUUCUGAUAUCCCAUAUCUUCAGAUUUGUGUCAGUUGAACCAGAUGCAAAGAACUCACCAAAUGGAUGAAAUUCAACAGCAGUGCAGUUUGAUCUGUGUCCAGGAAGAGUGCGAACCAUUUUUGCUUCUUCUAAAUCCCAAAGCUUUAUCACCCCAGUGGAAGCUCCAGCAAGAACCAAAACUUCUGCUGCGUCAAAAGCUACAGAUUCAACUGGGCUUGUAUGACCACACAAGGUCAUUAAAGAAGUUGGUUUUCCAAUUGCCCAAAGAUUGACUUUGUGAUCAUCACCGCCUGUGAUAAAAUGUCUACACGCCUUUUUCCCAAUUUUUAGGCAGUUUACAUUGGUUGAAUGAGCCACAAAUUCUUGCAGCUUAUAUCCACGUUUCGCCAUUUCUUCCACGAUACAGAGAGACCCAGAAAACCAAUUCGCUCCGAGAGAAAUUAGAUCAGAAAGUAGCUUGAAAUUCGCAGUUCACGCAACAACCUGGAGGAGUUUUUUUUUUUUUUUUUUGCUUGGGCUCUAUUUACUUUGGCA